GUUGUCGAAGAAGCUCGGAUGCUGACGAAGCUCGGAAGAAGUUCAGAGUAGGGUCGUCCGUGGCUGGAAGAAGUCCAGGAGAGACUCGGGGAAUGGUCGGCUGUUGUAGGAGGUCGACUGUCAGUGAGACCCAGAGGGCCUUUGGAGCAGCCCGGUGGGUGAACGCAGAAGUCCAUUGUCAGAGAACUCUGGACGGCCGAGGGAGUUCGGAGAGGCAC
This 218-nucleotide long non-coding RNA is filed under the name Elaeis guineensis (African oil palm). Its description in RNAcentral is "long non-coding RNA (EGUI_LNC049640)". Lineage: Eukaryota; Viridiplantae; Streptophyta; Magnoliopsida; Arecales; Arecaceae. The record is from RNAcentral.